GUUUAUAUACGUUAGUCCAGAGGUACCGACAUGGCCUGAAACUGUUGAGAAGAACGUAAGAACUAGCACGAGUAGUUUUCAGAAGAAGAUUUGAUGCUUAACCGGAGGAUCUGUUGGGUUUAUUAUUGUGUGAACUGACGGCGGUUUACAUGGAUGUUGGUGGAGGUGCAGCUGCAGGGGAGGCGAUUAAGCAGUCGCCGUCGAUGCCGACGACCCCGACCACGCCGGUGACGCCGUCGUCGUCCACGCCGCCGCGCGGCGGCAGCGUGUGGCGGAGCGUUUUCCACCCCGGGAGCAACCUGGCCACCAAGAGCCUCGGCGCCAACCUCUUCGACCGCCCGCAGCCCAACUCCCCCACCGUCUACGACUGGUACGUACGCUAGCUCAUGAUCUAUAUAUCUCACGGUACAAAAUCAGUUUUAGUAACACGAUCUACUGGGAACUUUAAACGGGUGAACAUGGCAAAUGAUAAUAACGCUGCCACGUACGUUUGAUGUCCAGGCUUUACAGCGACGAGACGAGGACAAGGAGCAACCACCGCUAAAUAAGAGCCGUCGGCCAGAGAACUGAAGGCAGGGUGCUCAACAACUUGUGCGACGCCGCCAUGUUUGCUGCUCUUUUGGUUAUCUAAUCCU
Molecule: long non-coding RNA, 635 nt
Filed under: Triticum aestivum (bread wheat)
Lineage: Eukaryota; Viridiplantae; Streptophyta; Magnoliopsida; Poales; Poaceae
Description: long non-coding RNA (TAES_LNC001892)
Source: RNAcentral